This 504-nucleotide ribosomal RNA is filed under the name uncultured bacterium. RNAcentral describes it as "bacterial SSU rRNA". It matches the Rfam family "Bacterial small subunit ribosomal RNA", at positions 16 to 507 of the family's 1533-position model. The record is from RNAcentral.
AUCCUGGCUCAGGAUGAACGCUAGCUACAGGCUUAACACAUGCAAGUCGAGGGGAAACGAUAUUGGAAGCUUGCUUCCGAUAGGCGUCGACCGGCGCACGGGUGAGUAACGCGUAUCCAACCUGCCCAUCACUUGGGGAUAACCUUGCGAAAGUAAGACUAAUACCCAAUGACGUCUCUAGAAGACAUCUGAAGGAGAUUAAAGAUUUAUCGGUGAUGGAUGGGGAUGCGUCUGAUUAGCUUGUUGGCGGGGUAACGGCCCACCAAGGCGACGAUCAGUAGGGGUUCUGAGAGGAAGGUCCCCCACAUUGGAACUGAGACACGGUCCAAACUCCUACGGGAGGCAGCAGUGAGGAAUAUUGGUCAAUGGACGAGAGUCUGAACCAGCCAAGUAGCGUGCGGGAUGACGGCCCUAUGGGUUGUAAACUGCUUUUAUAAGGGAAUAAAGUGAGUCUCGUGAGACUUUUUGCAUGUACCUUAUGAAUAAGGACCGGCUAAUUCCGUG